GCUUAACCGGAGAAGUGCAUCGGAAACUGGGAGACUUGAGUGCAGAAGAGGACAGUGGAACUCCAUGUGUAGCGGUGGAAUGCGUAGAUAUAUGGAAGAACACCAGUGGCGAAGGCGGCUGUCUAGUCUGUAACUGACGCUGAGGCUCGAAAGCAUGGGUAGCGAACAGGAUUAGAUACCCUGGUAGUCCAUGCCGUAGACGAUGAGUGCUAAGUGUUGGAGGGUUCCGCCCUUCAGUGCUGCAGCUAACGCAUUAAGCACUCCGCCUGGGGAGUACGACCGCAAGGUUGAAACUCAAAGGAAUUGACGGGGGCCCGCACAAGCGGUGGAGCAUGUGGUUUAAUUCGAAGCUACGCGAAGAACCUUACCAGGUCUUGACAUCUUCUGCCAAUCUUAGAGAUAAGACGUUCCCUUCGGGGACAGAAUGACAGGUGGUGCAUGGUUGUCGUCAGCUCGUGUCGUGAGAUGUUGGGUUAAGUCCCGCAACGAGCGCAACUCUUAUUAUCAGUUGCCAGCAUUCAGUUGGGCACUCUGGUGAGACUGCCGGUGACAAACCGGAGGAAGGUGGGGAUGACGUCAAAUCAUCAUGCCCCUUAUGACCUGGGCUACACACGUGCUACAAUGGACGGUACAACG
Molecule: ribosomal RNA, 636 nt
Filed under: uncultured bacterium
Lineage: Bacteria
Description: bacterial SSU rRNA
Rfam family: Bacterial small subunit ribosomal RNA
Source: RNAcentral